RNAcentral lists this ribosomal RNA (253 nucleotides) under uncultured bacterium. RNAcentral's name for it is "partial 16S ribosomal RNA". It matches the Rfam family "Bacterial small subunit ribosomal RNA", at positions 524 to 776 of the family's 1533-position model. The record is from RNAcentral.
UACGUAGGGUGCAAGCGUUAAUCGGAAUUACUGGGCGUAAAGCGUGCGCAGGCGGUGAUGUAAGACAGUUGUGAAAUCCCCGGGCUCAACCUGGGAACUGCAUCUGUGACUGCAUCGCUGGAGUGCGGCAGAGGGGGAUGGAAUUCCGCGUGUAGCAGUGAGAUGCGUAGAUAUGCGGAGGAACACCGAUGGCGAAGGCAAUCCCCUGGGCCUGCACUGACGCUCAUGCACGAAAGCGUGGGGAGCAAACAGG